GGACUACUGGGGUUUCUAAUCCCGUUCGCUCCCCCAGCUUUCGCGCCUCAGCGUUAGGAACGGCCCAAGAAGCCGCCUUCGCCACCGGUGUUCCGACUGAUAUCUACGCAUUUCACCGCUACACCAGCCAUUCCACUUCUCCCUGCCGCCCUCAAGACCCAUAGUAUCGGCCGACCCUCCGGGGUUGAGCCCCGGGCUUUCACAGCCGACUUACGGACCCGCCUACGCGCGCUUUACGCCCAGUAACUUCGGACAACGCUCGCCCCCUACGUAUUACCGCGGCUGCUGGCAC
This 292-nucleotide ribosomal RNA is filed under the name uncultured bacterium. RNAcentral's name for it is "partial 16S ribosomal RNA". The record is from RNAcentral.